This 301-nucleotide ribosomal RNA is filed under the name uncultured bacterium. Its description in RNAcentral is "partial 16S ribosomal RNA". It matches the Rfam family "Bacterial small subunit ribosomal RNA", at positions 509 to 807 of the family's 1533-position model. The record is from RNAcentral.
CAGCCGCCGCGGGAAUACGAAGGGGGCUAGCGUUGUUCGGAAUUACUGGGCGUAAAGGGCGCGUAGGCGGCCAUUCAAGUUAGAUGUGAAAGCCCUGGGCUCAACCUAGGAAUUGCAUUUGAUACUGUUUGGCUUGAGUUCGGGAGAGGUGAGUGGAAUUCCCAGUGUAGAGGUGAAAUUCGUAGAUAUUGGGAAGAACACCAGUGGCGAAGGCGGCUCACUGGACCGACACUGACGCUGAGGCGCGAAAGCGUGGGGAGCAAACAGGAUUAGAUACCCCGGUAGUCCCUGUCUCUUAUAC